GAUAAUCUCAGCCCUCAAGGGUUUACAGUCAAAAUAAUUUCUUUGCAGCUCCUUGGGUACAUUAGAACAAGCUGAGCAGCACUGAUGGAAGUGCUGAGAUAGUUCGCUGUAUUUGCAGGGCUGAUGUCUUAAAAAACCCAGUUGGGCAUGGAUGAUUAAAUCUGUUGCUGCUGUCAGGUUGGUAGGAAUGCUUUCUGUUUCAAAAGCCUUUCACCAAUUGCACCUGUAAUCACAGAAGAAUCUCUCAGUAAAGCACCUCAGGCACGAAGGGAAUGGAGAAGUGCACGCAGCAGGAUGCUCUGUCUGACCCUGUUUCUCCAUAGUCCCUCUGCUGACAAAGCCUUCCCACACUUGUGUGAAAUGGUGAUGUGGGAGGGGGAUUCCCUGGCUCCUGUCCCUCCUGACAUUUUCAAUGCGUUUUCCUAGGCCUGUUUUUCCAUCCUGCAGUGUAAAAGUUAAUUUUGAUGAAAUCUUGAGUGAAUUAAACUGCAACACAGCAAUGUCCUUUCUCAACUAAUAUUUGCUGUCUGCCUUAUUUAUGUGGAGAAGAGGCACUUGGAGAUGCCAAUGAUCCUGUCAUUUAUUUGCCUUGUGCAUCGUGCCUUUGGCUACUAGAAUUAAACUGGAAAAUACAAUUAAAAAGCAUUAGCUGUAGCAGACAUACAAAAAAAUAUCAUUACAUGCUUGACAAUGUUCUCCUUCAUACUGUUAAUCCCUGCAGAUCUACCUGUGCUAUUAGAUUUCAUAUACAGAUUUUAUUUUUCUCUGAAGACUACCUUAAUUGGAAUGAGCAUUCCUGUUUUUAUAAGGGAAGAGAAGGAAGAUGUCACCAUGCUGGAAAGCCUCACCUGACUUUUCUUGGCUGAGACUGUGAAAUAACAAGGGGCAUCUUCCCUCCCUUGACUGCCCACACAGACCACCAGAACCAGGAUUUGCCAUGACUGUCUUAUGAUGGGAAAUGUUGGG
Molecule: long non-coding RNA, 966 nt
Organism: Melospiza melodia melodia
Lineage: Eukaryota; Metazoa; Chordata; Aves; Passeriformes; Passerellidae
Exons: 3
Source: RefSeq, a predicted model, not a curated record